ACUCCUACGGGAGGCAGCAGUGGGGAAUUUUGGACAAUGGGCGAAAGCCUGAUCCAGCCAUGCCGCGUGCAGGAUGAAGGCCUUCGGGUUGUAAACUGCUUUUGUACGGAACGAAACGGCCUUUUCUAAUAAAGAGGGCUAAUGACGGUACCGUAAGAAUAAGCACCGGCUAACUACGUGCCAGCAGCCGCGGUAAUACGUAGGGUGCAAGCGUUAAUCGGAAUUACUGGGCGUAAAGCGUGCGCAGGCGGUUAUGUAAGACAGUUGUGAAAUCCCCGGGCUCAACCUGGGAACUGCAUCUGUGACUGCAUAGCUAGAGUACGGUAGAGGGGGAUGGAAUUACGCGUGUAGCAGUGAAAUGCGUAGAUAUGCGUAGGAACACCGAUGGCGAAGGCAAUCCCCUGGACCUGUACUGACGCUCAUGCACGAAAGCGUGGGGAGCAAACAGGAUUAGAUACCCGAGUAGUCCCAUGA
This 474-nucleotide ribosomal RNA is filed under the name uncultured organism. Its description in RNAcentral is "partial 16S ribosomal RNA". It matches the Rfam family "Bacterial small subunit ribosomal RNA", at positions 335 to 800 of the family's 1533-position model. The record is from RNAcentral.